Molecule: ribosomal RNA, 720 nt
Filed under: Archaeoglobus sp. enrichment culture
Lineage: Archaea; Methanobacteriati; Methanobacteriota; Archaeoglobi; Archaeoglobales; Archaeoglobaceae
Description: bacterial SSU rRNA
Rfam family: Archaeal small subunit ribosomal RNA
Source: RNAcentral
CGAUUACCUGCCCUCGGGUGGGGGAUAACCCCGGGAAACUGGGGCUAAUCCCCCAUAGGGGAUGGGUACUGGAAUGUCUCAUCUCCGAAAGCGCUUAGCGCCCGAGGAUGGGUCUGCGGCGGAUUAGGUUGUUGGUGGGGUAACGGCCCACCAAGCCGAAGAUCCGCACGGGCCAUGAGAGUGGGAGCAGGAGCCCGGAGAUGGACCCUGAGACACGGGUCCAGGCCCUACGGGGCGCAGCAGGCGCGAAACCUCCGCAAUGCGGGAAACCGCGACGGGGUCAGCCGGAGUGCUCGCGCAUCGCGCGGGCUGUCGGGGUGCCUAAAAAGCACCCCAUGGCAAGGGCCGGGCAAGGCCGGUGGCAGCCGCCGCGGUAAUACCGGCGGCCCGAGUGGCGGCCACUUUUAUUGGGCCUAAAGCGUCCGUAGCCGGGCUGGUAAGUCCUCCGGGAAAUCUGGUCGCUUAACGAUCAGACUGCCGGAGGAUACUGCCAGCCUAGGGACCGGGAGAGGCCGGGGGUAUUCCCGGGGUAGGGGUGAAAUCCUGUAAUCCCGGGAGGACCACCUGUGGCGAAGGCGCCCGGCUGGAACGGGUCCGACGGUGAGGGACGAAGGCCAGGGGAGCGAACCGGAUUAGAUACCCGGGUAGUCCUGGCUGUAAACGAUGCGGACUAGGUGUCACCGAAGCUACGAGCUUCGGUGGUGCCGGAGGGAAGCCGUU